UUGCUUUGGUAGCACAUAUACUAGAACUGGAAUGAUAUAGAGAAGAUUAGCAUGGGCUCUGCACAAGGAUGACAUGCAAAUUCAUGAUGCAUUCCACAUUUUU
Cavia porcellus (domestic guinea pig) is the source of this 103-nucleotide small nuclear RNA. The record is from RefSeq and is a predicted model, not a curated record. NCBI's taxonomy places the organism in Eukaryota, Metazoa, Chordata, Mammalia, Rodentia, Caviidae.